AACGAACGCUGGCGGCAUGCCUAACACAUGCAAGUCGAACGAGACCUUCGGGUCUAGUGGCGCACGGGUGCGUAACGCGUGGGAACCUGCCCUUAGGUUCGGAAUAACUCCCCGAAAGGGGUGCUAAUACCGGAUAAUGUCUUCGGACCAAAGAUUUAUCGCCUUUGGAUGGGCCCGCGUUGGAUUAGCUAGUUGGUAGGGUAAAAGCCUACCAAGGCGACGAUCCAUAGCUGGUCUGAGAGGAUGAUCAGCCACACUGGGACUGAGACACGGCCCAGACUCCUACGGGAGGCAGCAGUGGGGAAUAUUGGACAAGGGGCGAAAGCCUGAUCCAGCAAUGCCGCGUGAGUGAUGAAGGCCUUAGGGUUGUAAAGCUCUCUUACCCGGGAUGAUAAUGACAGUACCGGGAGAAUAAGCUCCGGCUAACUCCGUG
RNAcentral lists this ribosomal RNA (433 nucleotides) under uncultured bacterium. RNAcentral's name for it is "partial 16S ribosomal RNA". It matches the Rfam family "Bacterial small subunit ribosomal RNA", at positions 29 to 507 of the family's 1533-position model. The record is from RNAcentral.